AACACAUGCAAGUCGAACGAACCUUCGGGUUAGUGGCGGACGGGUGAGUAACGCGUGAGAAUCUGCCCUCAGGAGGGGGAUAACGGUUGGAAACGACCGCUAAUACCCCAUAUGCCGCGAGGUGAAAUGAAUUUCGCCUGAGGAUGAGCUCGCGUCUGAUUAGUUAGUUGGUGG
This 174-nucleotide ribosomal RNA is filed under the name uncultured Prochlorococcus sp. RNAcentral's name for it is "partial 16S ribosomal RNA". It matches the Rfam family "Bacterial small subunit ribosomal RNA", at positions 50 to 255 of the family's 1533-position model. The record is from RNAcentral. Lineage: Bacteria; Bacillati; Cyanobacteriota; Cyanophyceae; Synechococcales; Prochlorococcaceae.